Molecule: RNA transcript, 4755 nt
Organism: Oncorhynchus nerka (sockeye salmon)
Lineage: Eukaryota; Metazoa; Chordata; Actinopteri; Salmoniformes; Salmonidae
Gene name: tumor necrosis factor alpha-induced protein 8-like protein 2
Exons: 9
Source: RefSeq, a predicted model, not a curated record
AGUGCUCAAUGCUGACAACCUGAGCCACGUGCCGUGGGGACUGAGACGUUUGACACGAAAGAGGGAGGGGGACUCUCUCACACACAGGUAAGGAUGGAGUCAUUCAGCUCCAAGGAAAUGGCCAUGCAGGCCCAGAAGAAGAUCCUCAGCCACAUGGCCAACAAGUCUGUGGUCCAUAUGUUCAUAGACGACACCAGCAGUGAGAUUCUGGACGAGCUCUACCGUGUUUCCAAAGAGUAUUCAGGCAACCGCUCAGAGGCCCAGAAGGUGGUGAAGGACCUGAUCAAGAUAGCAGUGAAGAUUGGCGUGCUGUUCAGACACAACCGUUUCAGCCCAGAGGAGCUGAGUCUGGCCCAGGACUUCAAGAAGAAGCUACAUCAAGGAGCCAUGACAGCCAUCAGCUUCUAUGAGGUGGAGUUCACCUUUGACAAGACAGUAAUGUCGGAGAUCCUGACAGAAUGCAGAGAUCUGUUGUUGAAGCUAGUCGACUCCCACCUCACGCCCAAAUCCCAUGGUCGCAUCAACCACGUAUUCAACCAUUACUCCGAUCCAGAGCUUCUGACCCAGCUUUACAACCCUGAUGGAUCCUUUAAACCCAACCUCACCAAAAUCUGCACCGGCCUCAACCGUCUGCUGGAGGAGGGGACAUUAUGAGAGUUUUCUUGGUGCAUUUGGUGAUGGUGAGGGGCACUGCACCAAGUAUGGCUUGCUGAUGCAUUCUGGGAGAGGUGACGACCGUGGCACUGUUUGACCUUGUAAAUCGACGGUCUGUUGUCUUGCUGGUACAAGCUGCUUCCAAAGAUGUCAAACUGUGAUGGAAAACCCCAACAGGUGAAAUAAACAGAACCUUGACAAAAUCAAGUAUUGUAUGAAGAGCUAAGCACAUAACACAGUGUUGUCCAAACUAUGGGGUCACGAGAAAAAUGUAAAUACAUUUGUUUUAAAUUGCGGUUGCCACUUGAUGCAAUUAACAGAACGAUUUCUGUUUUCUUCCUACAAAUAUGUCUCCAUCUUUUGAACCGUUUAAGCUUCAAAAUGUUAUGACCCCAUCACUCAAAGACAAGACUUUGUUUCCUUCUAGAAUGACCACAAUGCUGCAUUGGAAUAAUUAUCAGAGUGGACAAGACCAGGAACUAAAUCAGACAUUUUUUAGACAGAAGAUCAUACGAAAAUAUUGCCUGAUCAUCUUCUGAACUUCCCAAUACCUUUCUGUUGCAUUUCUGUCACUUCAAACCAUACUUUCUUCAGAUUGAAAUACUGUCAAAAGUACUGUCUUAGUCACAAUUUUAAAAAAGAAACAUUGGCUGUUGAUUGGAUACCCUUUUUUACAUGGUGGGGUAGCACAUUUUUUUUCUUUUUCAAAAUGGGGUCAAGGGCCAAAUAAAAUUGGGAACCCUUGACAUAAUUACAUGCUACUGAUGUCAUGACAUCAUCACAUUGACACCCUACUCGUUUAGAUGGAUAUUAUCAUUUCAUCAGAGUUAAAGCUGCAGCAGUAUCUGUUCUAUGUGAGCUAUUUCUAUGCUUCCUUUUCUUAAGAUCGUUUUUGCAUAUUUUCUCUUUCGGUUUUGUACACCAUCUUCCAACAGUUGAAAACAAUAUUUUUGGUUAUGGAAAAGGCAUUUCACAGCAGUUUAGAUGGUACAUUGAUUCUCCACACUAUACUUGCUUGUUUUGUCACAAUCUGAAAUUAGGCAACCUAUUAGAUUUUUUGCAACUAGAAAAUGGUGGAGCGAUUUUGCAUAGUGCAUCAUAAACUAGACUGACCACUAGUUUGUGACAGGACAGAAUAAUACAAAGUGAUGAAGUUAUCUGGGUGAAUUUACCUUUUCUCUCCCUCUUGGCAUCUUUUCACAGCUGCUUGCUUGGUCUGGCUGAUCAUACGAUCCAUCCUUUUCAAGAAAUUCAUUGGAGAAAGUUCUGAUGUACCUUCUUCUUGUGUCUUUUCAGAAUUGUUCACUGGCUUCCCAUUUUGAGUAGAGACUUUUUUACUUGUACUGUCCUGUACCUUGCCGGAGUCCUCCUCAGUCACAUCUACCCCAAUAUUAGCAUCACUGUUGUAGUCUGACAGCACAGGGAUAGAAAUAUACUUCUUUAGGAAUAUUGAGUCAUUCGUGUACAGUCUAUUUGCUCUUUUGAUUUGUUCCAUCUGUUAAAAAGAUACAAUUGCAGAUGUGGGUUUAUGAAGGUAAACACAUUUAUCACCAUAGCAUAAGUCCACAAAUUGCCCAUUUAAAUUUUCAUGCAGUUAAAACUCCUCCUUGACAGGAUGUGUGCUGGGGCAACAUUUAAAAUACUCAAACAUUUUGGAAGAAUGGCAAUGCCAAUGUCUAACUACUCACAGAUACUCCAUAUUUCAACGCGAGUCCUUGCAACGUCUCUCCUGGCUGAACUCGGUGUUCAAUUCGUCUUUGUCGUACCGGAGAAAGGUUGGAUUGUACAAGACUGCCGUAUGACCUCGUGCGGUUAACGGGGAGUAGACCGGCUCCACCCGUUGAAAGAGGAGCCCGUUCCCCGUGGAACAUGGUUGAGCUUAUCUAGCCCCCCUCUUGACUUUCUAAAUCAGCAAUAACGUUAGCUAGCGUAAACCAGUUUGCGUUACUGGCUAUAGUAGUUACUAUAGUUUGCCAGCUAGCUAAAUUGCCUAUACAGUUAGAAAACCUGUAUCGUCGUUAUUGUAGAGAGGUGGUAGCUAGCUAAUAAUAACAUGAGUUUAAGUGCAUGUAGCUAGUUUACCUUAUCUCGUCGACUAGCUAGUUAGUUAGCUUCUAAACAAACUCUUGCCAUAGGAAAAAUGUAUUCAGUCAGCUGUCUAUUUCCAUGGCUGCCGUGGUAUGACCAAGUCCCACAAAUCCUCACUGAAAGCAGGAAGUAGCUAGAUUACAAACGGUUUUGAAGAUGUUUGGAAUAUCUAGCCAGCGAUUCGCAAAUAAGGACCUUACUAACAAAUAUAUUUAGCUAAACCUAUUAAUCUAAAUGUCGUUUAAAAGAGAGGGCAAUGAUCAGAGUCAAUCGAAUAUCCUCAAGGCGAGCCAUCUUAUUAGUUGUUACUUACACAGAAAUCAAUUUGUACUUUAGCUUGCUAGCUACAUGCGAAACGGGCACGUUUGUCAUUUUAACUAGCUAGUUAGUUAACAUAGCUAGCUAACGUUAAUUGAUUAUUUCCCAGAAACGGCGUGUUGCAGAACUCCUGUCCAAUUUCAUUCCAGAGGAUGAGGUAGCCUUGAUGAAAAAUGGAAGGUGGAGUACCUGUUGUGCCGAAAAUCACCCCCCUGACAGACCCAACGAGAGCAUACAGGUUGCAGUGCAGGAAGCCAUAUCAAAACCACCUGUGAAGGCUGAAUGUGCCAACACUAAUCCUUUCUGUGCCAGGGAUGAAGUGGUUUUAUGGAAAGAAAACUCGACUGAAAAAUGAGAUAUCUUAACGAAACCAUGAAAACUAUGUUCAAGCUGAAGAUAGCCGACAGGAACCCUCUAGUUCUGCCACCCUGUUGACACAGACACGUAAACUCACCCACCACGCCUUACUGAAGACUGUGCUAUACAACAUUUGGCACAAAAAGACCAGACUGUGACAUCAGCCCCUCCAGCACAAGACUAUCAUCACCACACCAAACGUCAGUGGACAAUGAUAAGACAUCAUGUCAUUACCCAGUUCCAACAGUAAUACACCAGUCAAUCAGGGAUCGUGUCUAAUUGGGAGAAAUAAGGAAGUGUGUAAGAAGGAGUCAGCCAACGGCGACACAGGAGUCGGAACCUAUGACAGCUCAAAGGAGGAGCAUUACCUUACAUUGAAACGUGCGGGACGGCUGCAGGACAGGAGUGACCCGUGGGUAAAGGAUGAGAAUGUGGAAUUUGAUUCAGAUGAAGAGGAACCCUCCCAUCCUCCCACUGACUCAGAGGGCUGACCAGAUGAGCAGCAGGGACCAGACCUCAACACCAGCACCUUCCCAAAAUCCCUAGCCCUUUCCUCAAACCCUGCUGCUGACACAAAAGUCCCAUACAUCUGUUGACUCAACAAUUAUGAAUGGCACUCUGUUGCAGUACUGACAACACUAGAAGAGCAGCACUAGAACAUCUUGAACUGCCUCCAUGCUUCCUUUGUUUACUCUAUCUCAGGGUAGACACAUUGGUGCUUGAGACAAUGCUUUGACUGUUGUCACCCUGCGAGGGGUGGGAAGGGGGACGAUUCUCAGCACCCUUUGUGUUAUUCCGUUCGCCCAUUUUAUUUAGGUCCAACACCUCCUGUUAAGGCUAAGCUGUGAGCUUACCAUAAAUCAUCAGCAGAUAGGACAAUAUUACUGCUAAUCUUGGUAGUGUAACCACCGGUUAACAUUCUUCAGAAGGUUCUUAUUUGUGGCUCACCCCUAGACCACUCUAUAUAUUGGAUAACACCCCCCCCCCCCCCCUAGAGAAAGCGAGCGUGCGGACGUAACGUGGGUUAGUUUAAAACGAUGACGUUAAAAUGUGUCAAACUUGAGUACCUGAUUAUUAUUUGUGAGCUCAUUGCGUGACUGCCACAAGGCGUUUGGAAUGUUUGUUGACUGCAUCGACACAGGAGCACAACUGUCUUGUGUGUCAUCAAGGCUGAUGAUGUUAUGGAGUUAAAUUGUCAAUGCAAUAAGUCAUGUUGACUCUAUCGUGUUACUUGUACUUUCAGAUGACUAAACAAAACAAUUGUCCUCCACUGCUAACAAUGUCUGUUUGAAUAACCCAGAUACAAGGGAGUAAAAUAAAGCACCACCUAACUUAGAA